This 498-nucleotide ribosomal RNA is filed under the name Cemocotyle carangis. Its description in RNAcentral is "SSU rRNA". It matches the Rfam family "Eukaryotic small subunit ribosomal RNA", at positions 1321 to 1797 of the family's 1831-position model. The record is from RNAcentral. Lineage: Eukaryota; Metazoa; Platyhelminthes; Monogenea; Mazocraeidea; Heteraxinidae.
CAUUUUGCUUAUGAGAGAGACGCAGCCCAUGGUGAUUCGCCUUGUCCUUGUUUCACUGCUUCUUGUGGUAGAACAUGGUUUGGGAGAUUACUGCGCGGGUGAAACUUCUUAGAGAGACAAGUUGAGAAAGCAAUACGAAAUUGAGCAAUAACAGGUCUGUGAUGCCCUUAGAUGUCCGGGGCCGCACGCGCGCUACAAUGACGGUACCAGCGAGUAUGAUCUCCUGGUCCGAAAGGAUUAGGCAAACUGUUCCAUGACCGUCGUGACAGGGAUCGGGGUUUGUAAUUAUCCCCCGUGAACGAGGAAUUCCCAGUAAGUGCAAGUCAUAAGCUUGUGCUGAUUACGUCCCUGCCCUUUGUACACACCGCCCGUCGCUACUACCGAUUGAAUGGUUUGGCAAGGCCUUCGGAUUGGUGCCAUUGUAACAGCUCGUCUGUUCGACAGGUGCCGAGAAGAGGACCAAACUUGAUCAUUUAGAGGAAGUAAAAGUCGUAACAA